AGAGUUUGAUCCUGGCUCAGGAUGAACGCUAGCUACAGGCUUAACACAUGCAAGUCGAGGGGAAACGACAUCGAAAGCUUGCUUUUGAUGGGCGUCGACCGGCGCACGGGUGAGUAACGCGUAUCCAACCUGCCCACCACUUGGGGAUAACCUUGCGAAAGUAAGACUAAUACCCAAUGAUAUCUCUAGAAGACAUCUGAAAAGAGAUUAAAGAUUUAUCGGUGAUGGAUGGGGAUGCGUCUGAUUAGCUUGUUGGCGGGGUAACGGCCACCAAGGCUACGAUCAGUAGGGGGUUCUGAGAGGAAGGUCCCCCACAUUGGAACUGAGACACGGUCCAAACUCCUACGGGAGGCCA
Molecule: ribosomal RNA, 355 nt
Filed under: uncultured bacterium
Lineage: Bacteria
Description: bacterial SSU rRNA
Rfam family: Bacterial small subunit ribosomal RNA
Source: RNAcentral